GAGGGUGAUACAAGUCAUUUAAUGAAUGCAUAUGCUGAGAACAUGUAAAUCAUGCGUAUAAAUUUCGUUCGAACUACAUAAAACAAUAUACUAAUAUUCAACUGCCAACAAUGAUAAAGAUAGUGAUAGUGCAUAACAUAUUCAGAGCAUACAUCUAAUUCAAAAUACAAGGGAAGAUGCUAUUACAAAGAUGUCAAAGCAAGAUGAAGGCACGAUAUUACUAGUAGGGGAAUGCCUCAUAGCUCGGAUUGUAAACCUCAUUCCUAUGUCCUAAGGGGGCGCAAAACAAACAUGAGUGGACCAAGUUGAUAUAUACAUAAUACUGAAACAGUUAAUCAACAUACUAACCCCCAAAGUUUAUGAAAACUCAAUAAUAUACUAUGUAAUAGGUUUUCCGAAAACCUUAGCAUGCCAUAAAACUUUUCAUGAAACAUAUAUCGUAAAAUGUGCUAAAUAGUGGUAUCAUGUAACAGUAUCUUAUGGCCAAAGCCACCAACCUACACCCGGCAAAAGCCAACAUAAAUAUCUCUCCCGGCUGAAGCCAAUAUAUGAGUAUCAUCGCCCUUAGGCACCAACCUAUGCCCGGUCGAAGCCAAUAUAUGUAUCAUUGCCAGUCGGUAGAACAGUAACCACUAAAUACGCACAAAAACAUUGAAUAUAUAUUCUUUCCAAUAUAAGGACAUAUAUCUCAAAGACAUCUUCAUAGCAUAUAGUCAUACAUCAUAUAUACUAUAAAGAAGUGUAAAAACAUGUUCAUAAGCAGUAUAUUGUCAUCCAUCAUAUAUACUACAAUGAAGAUAAGUUCGAUAAAAUAUGGUAUUCCAAAAUAUUCUCCGUAAAGCAUGAUAGUCAUAUAAUGUAAAUCCAAUUUACUUAUAAAACGUUACCAUUAAAUCACGCUUUUCAUAUAUGCAUUUCUACUAUUAAAACAUGCAUUUUAAAAGGGGUCCGCUCACAAAUACUUCCUCGUCGAAGAGCCAUACGAAAUAGGAAUGAUGGAAUUACCGCUAAUAAUUGCACCUAAGCACAUAAAGGGUCAAAUUAAUAAAACUAUGCUCAAAUGAUUGAAUUUCAAAAAACGGACGUCAUAAACAGAUCCAGGACGUCGAAAAAUAUAAAUGGGACCUUGGGUACCCCAAUGCGCCGCCACAAGGUGGCUCCUCCGAUGGCCUCAAGCAAGGAAAAGUCAACGGAAAAUUGGCCGAAAAAGUAGUCGGCGCCGCCGUGGACAAUGGCGCGUGUACUCCAUGCGUCGACCACGCGCAAGCUCACACGCAGCUGGGCUGCUGGGUUGGACUGGGUUUGGGCCUGGGUUCUUGGGCUUGGGUCUAAUAAGUUUGGGCCUAUGUUAUAAAGGGUUUGGGUUUUGGGUUCUAUCGGGCCUUGGGCUUGAAGGCCCGACCCAAAGCAAAGGGUUUUAGGAUUUAAUAAAUAAAAGGGUUGUUGGGUUGGGCUGCCCUAAGGUUUUGGGCUUAGGCUUAACGGCUUGAAGGCCCAAUUCUACACGGCCCCAAGGGCCUGGUCUCUUAGGGUUUGGUGGGUUUAGGCUUAAAGGGUUGGGCCGGCCUAACUCCACUAGUGGGUUGUCGGACCCGAUGGAAAAGAAAGCUGGAAUCCGACCGGACAACUCCUCCAAGCACCAUUCAAGCUCGAUUUACAACUUUAUGGUACGAUUCUAGUACCAAAAUGAAACUAGAGACGAGAGAGAGAGAGAGAUUUGGUACCUUCAAUUCAUCAUGGGGUGCUUAGAGGUGGCCGAAAUCUGGGUUCAAAGGUCACGAGCUCACCGGGGAGUUUUGGGUGGACUUUGGGUGUCCCAUGCUUCACUGAGACGAUGGAGGAAGAGGGUUUACAUAGGUGGUGAUGAUGACACCUGUGUCGCCAUUCGUUUGUCACUUGGGUGUGUGGGUGGUUAAUUGCAAUCGGGGGAGAGGGAAAUAGGGUAUUGUGAGAGUGAGAGAGAUAGAGAGCUGCGAGAGUGAGAGAUUGGGGAAAAGAGAGAGGAUGAGGAGGUGAGUUAGAGUGGUGCCACGUGGCAAACAGAGAGAGGAAGAUAAUCUAAAGAGAGGGUAAAGAUAGGGGGCAAAAAUGUACUUUUAUAAUUCUUUGGUAUUAAAAUGCAUAAAUUUGGGGAGGGGUUUUACUCGUGGCUUCAUCCUAGCAAAAAGACUAGUUAUGAACAAUCAUAAUAAAAACUAAAGAAAAUAUCAUUAACUAGAAAAAGGAUUGAAAACACCUUGUAGGUAAACAGUAUGAAAUUCUCCAAAAAUAAUACGUCUCCCAUCUCCUCCCAAAUGGCUAAAUAGCCUUAUUUAUACUACAAGAAAAAGGUCUUCUAAAAACUAGGAAACACAGUAGAAUAUGAUAACUAGGACAUACAUUCCUAUUCUAACUUUGGGAAAUCUGUACAGCCACAAAGAAUCCCACGUUUCUGGUUCUUCAGGGCUCCAAAACAGGUCCAAAAUGGCUAGAAUUAAAGCUUGAGAUGUCCCGAACAUAAUUGUAGAAGGCCUAGAACACAAAAGACAUCAUCUUGGAUGCCAAAAAGCCCAAAUAAGCUCAAAACGUUACUUUGACAACACCUCCUUCAUUUCAUCGCCAUAAUUAAACCGCUUGAUAUAAAAGUUUGAAACUUUGACAUAAACACGUUGAAAGACUAACGAACAUCUUGCAAUUGGAAUGACUCCAAAAUUCAUCCGUUUGAAUACUUUUUUCUCAAGAGGAAAUCAAAUGUCCUACAUUGGAAAUAUAAUUCAAAGUAUCAAAAGUCUACCAAAAUAAUCAAUAAAUUAAUACUAAGAUUAUGGUAAAAUAUAUAGUAUAAUAUCGGCUCAUCAAUGAUCAAAUCGGACUGCUACGAAAACACUAGGUUUCAAAGUAACACGAUCUAAUUCAAAAAUCCCACCCAAUAGAGCAUGUCUAGCAUAUUUUUUCACAGUAGCGGGAAAUGGUAGAAGAAUAUGAAUUAUUAUAGAACAUAUAAUGCAUUACAGACGUAUGAUAAUUACGCUUCACAUCUUGGUAUGGGCCGUAUCUCUCCUAUUGUCGUAAUUACUUGGUAUUCUCAUCUUGGACCCCAAUUAUAUCUGGCAAACAUCCAAAAUCAACCUCAAUGCCCAUCCAAUCCAAUAACCAAAGACGGUAUUUUCUUUUAUAUCUACGACAAUGCUGGAUAAGGAGGAUGAAGGACGCUGGAGGAGGAGGAACAUAGAAGAAGGUGAAACUUGGUAUAAGCCACACAAUUAGGCAUGCAUAAUAAUUUGGUUUGUCUUCGUCUUCUAUAAAAAUCAAACUUAAAAUUUUUGACAAGUGAAGAGGAAUGCCAACAAAUCGAAUAUAUAUAUUUUAAUACAAUUAAACAUAAGGGGUUAACUAAGUACUUUUAUUAACAACUCCUAAAAUAGCAUUGCUAAAAAAGGAUAUUUCUAUUCUCACGCUCAUUUUUAUCUCAUACACUCUUAUUAAUUUUUUGUCAUUGAUCUAUUUAAUUCAUUCGAUCCAAUAACCGAAAUUAAUCUAUUUCACUUCAUUUGAUCUGACGGCCGAAAUUGAAGCUUGAGAUGUCCCCUCUCCUCCCACGUUUUUGGAUCUUCAAGGCUCCAAACACAGGCCCAAAAUGGCUAGAAUUAAAGUUUGAGAUGUCCCGAACAUAAUUGCAGAAGGCCUCAAACACAAAAGAUAUCAUCUUGGAUGCCAAAAAGCCCAAAUAAGCCUAAAAUGUUACUUUGGCAACAUUGUGUUUUGCUCCUUCAUUUCAUCACCAUAAUUAAACCGCUUGGUAUAAAGGUCUGAAACUUUGACACAAACACAUUGAAAGACAAACAAACAUCCUCCAAUUAGAAUCACUCCAAAAUUCAUCCGUUUGUAUACUUUCUGCUCAAGAGGAAAUUGAAUGUCUUACAUUGGAAAUAUAAUUCAAAGUAUUAAAAUUAUACCAAAAUAACCAAUAAAUUAAUACUAAGAUUAGGGUAAAAUAUAUAGUAUAAUAUCGGCUCACCAUUGAUCAAAUCGGAUUGUUACAAAAACACCGGGUUUCAAAGUAACACGGUCUAAUUAAAAGAUCUCACUUCAUUGAGCAUGUCUAACUUAUUUUUUUUCAUAGUAGUAGGAAAGGGUAAAAGAAUAUGAACUAUUGUAGAACAUACAAUGCAUUACAGAUGUAUGAUAAUUAGGCUUCACAUCUUGGUAUGGGUCGUAUCUCUCUUAUUAUCGCAAUUACUCAGUAUUCUCAUCUUGGACCCCAAGUAUCUAACCAACAUCCAAAAUCAACCUAAUCCCCAUCCAAUCCAAUAACCAGAGACGGUAUUUUCUUUUAUAUCUACGACAAUGCUGUAUAAGGAGGAUGAAGGACGCUGCAGGAGAAGGAACACAGAAGUAGGUGAAACUUAGGAUAAGCCACAUAAUUAGCCAUGCAUAAUAAUUUGGUUUGUCUUCAUCUUCUACAAAAAUCGAACUUACAAUUUCUCACAAGUUAAGAGGAAUACCAAUAAACUGGAUAUAUAUAUUUGAAUACAAUUAAACUUAAAGGGUUAACUAAGUAUUUUUAUUAACAACUCCUAAAAUAGCAUUGCUAAAAAAAGAAUAUUUCUAUUCACACGCUCAUUUUUAUCUCACACACUCUUAUUAAUUUUUUGUCAUUGAUCUAUUUAAUUCAUUCGAUCC
This 4662-nucleotide long non-coding RNA is filed under the name Malus domestica (apple). RNAcentral's name for it is "long non-coding RNA (MDOM_LNC008655)". Lineage: Eukaryota; Viridiplantae; Streptophyta; Magnoliopsida; Rosales; Rosaceae. The record is from RNAcentral.